Molecule: long non-coding RNA, 1585 nt
Organism: Uranotaenia lowii
Lineage: Eukaryota; Metazoa; Arthropoda; Insecta; Diptera; Culicidae
Exons: 4
Source: RefSeq, a predicted model, not a curated record
AAUACCCCCUUUUUGAAAAUGAUCCAUCAUACUUGUCAAAAUAAUAAAAUUUAGCGUAAAGAUUACAACACAAAUCUGGUUAAAAAAUAACAAGAUUGUGAUGUUUGAAAUCAAUUUAUUUUUUUAAUUUGACUUGAAAUUAAUUUAUGUCUGUUUAUACUGUAUACUUGCAUUUCGGAUUUCUAUAUUGUAUUUUAAAAAGAUUUAUAGCAUGUUCAAAAGUUUUUAUUGGAAUUUAUCAAAAACUUACAAUUAUUAAAAUUUUCACGAUCGCUCGAGCCAGUUGCUUCAGGGACGGCCUGGAUCUGAGCUAGACCAAACACAUUACGCUGAUGGACUAGCACCACAGCGACUGAACCGCGAGCUUCUUUGGGCAGGAGAACAUCCUAACGGCUGUCAUCGGGAAGGCCUGCUCUUCGACUUCCUGGUGGUGAUGUUCAUCGUGAACCAGAUGCGCAGGAAAAGGACGAAGGUAUCUUCGUCCUGGACAAGCCGAAGCGUUCCCCGACGGCCAACACAUACGCCAAGAAUGCCAACCGGGAACCUGAUUUAUAACACUCGAUCGAAUCCAGCAGCUCGAUUGUAUCCAGUUGAGCAGCAGUGGAUGGAAAGGGUAGACGGCACGUUUUGGGUCGAAGCAUCUGGAACAGAAAUUUAAAAAAAGUUGAAGAAAAAAUGGAUGCUCUAAAAAAAGAUGUUUUUCCAGCCGUUUUUGAGAAGUUUUCGGGCUAGUUAGGAACUAUGAAACCUACCUUUAAAGCUGCUUUCAGCAUAAGUUUCUUCGCCUUAACUUUUUUGAUGACUUUUCUCGCUGUUGCACUCAGCAUAAAAACAACCCAAAAUUAAGAACGCCCGGGCAUCAAAACAAAGUUUAGCUGCUGUUCUUAAUUUUGGGCUGCUGUCAACACCCCAAAAUAAAAGUUCACAGCUUGAACUGACUGCCCCAAAAAUUUAUCGUUCGGAAUUUGUUGCGUUUCUUGUCGAUAUGCCGAUUUCUUUUGUCAAAAACUAAUUUUUUUCGGUUGAAAAAGGAGUGAAAAAUUAUUGCUACAUCAAUUGUUGGAAUUUGGAAAAGAUUGGAGGAAGUUGCAGCAACGGACCAACAAAUGGAACGGGGAUACCACAGAAAUAUAAAAGCUAUAGAGUUCGAAAAAAUUCACCUUGGGAAUUAUAGAUAACCCGAAUAGCAGGAACCAUGGUUUUACAUUCAUGUUCCAAUGAAUUCGAAGGUGACCAUGUAUUUCAUGGUAAAAAGUACAUCCUAAAGCUUUUAGUACAAAAAUUUACACAUUAUCAAUUUUUCGUGUACGGUUUUGACAGCCGCGGCAACUUUGUUUUGCACAAACGCAAUUUUCGGUCGGCAUAUUCGGCAUUAACAUUUUUCGAUAGGUUUUCGGCAAAUUAUUGAACCAUCUAGUGUCGAUAUGAUCAAAAAGCGACAUAAAUCCUUCACACAAGGCUUUGAAGAAGUGGAAGUCACUUAGCCGGAAUCGCGUGAUGCGAGUUUUAAAGCAUUCCAGCUGAUGAUCAACGGAAAGAUGGCAGCAUUCUCGUGUAUAGUGUUAAGUUUUAUUAUUAAGUGUUU